UGACGGUGAGUUUAGGAAACGCCGAGCGGCAAAACAGAUGUAGUUAUUUGUUGAUUGAUUAAACGGACAACAAAGUUUUUCCGAUGGCUAACACUGGAGAAAUCAUCAUCCUCAGUGAUGAUGAAGACUGUGAAGCCAUAUCGUGCAAUGAACCCUCGGUCCUCAUCGUGGAGACGGAGGAUGUGAAGAAGAGUGAGUGUGCUGUACCUCCCACUGCUCUGGAUGAAGACUUGGUCAUCACCUUCUCCCGCACGGCUGAUGUCCUUUCUCACGCACGCUACGACUGUCCCAUACAUUCCUUCACAGCUACGGAUUGUGAGGUCUCUGCUCCUGUGUCCAGUAACCAGCUCAUGUGUGAUCAGUGCUUCUGCUACAUCUGCGACAAGCUGGCCUCAUUAUGUGUUCUGUGGUGUUUCAAAGAUGUGUGCCACUGCAACAGCCACAACAGGAGCGAUUUUUGGAACAACCAAAGAAACUGCGCGCUGCUGGGAGGAUUGAAGACUUUUAACCUCACUUUAUUGGAAAUAGACUCUCACCUCCGAAAUGCAGAGACAAUGCUGCAGAGCUUCAGACGAGGCCUCGCCACCCUGUUCACUGCUUUCGUGAAGGGAAGAGUGCCUGAGGAGUGCGGUCUGAGCCAAUCACGCCAGAAUCGCGUUUAUGAUUACACUCCGGUGUACGAGUUUGUGUGCUCCUUCCUGAACAAAGCAGAUAAACAGGACGGCAGAGCUGCUGCCAUCAUGAGGCUUGGAGCCACUGAGGACUUUAUUAAACAUUUUCAAGUCUCAGGGUCUUUCACCCCACAGUCUGCCAUGGCUAAUGCUGGUAUAGCCAGACUAGUGUUAUUGCAGAGGGUCGUAGAGUCUGUACAGAGACAGAUGGUGAUGGCUGAUUUCCCACCAGCGUUCAGACUCAAACUGCAGGAGUUUUACAAGGGCCUGAAUUUCCCCACUGAGCUGAAGAGCAUGAAGAACUGUCUGAGUGUUCGUCCUUGGGAUGAUGUCCUGCUGGUGUCCGUGAUGAAAGGGCAGAACGUGUCGGGCUUCCGCAAAGACAAAGGCAAGAAUGACUUCCUUAGGGAGCAGAUCUCUGUAGUUCUACUGAGAACAGAACUACUACAGCGACAGCACAGAUACAGAGAAUUGUGUCGCUACCUACGAGUUGUCGAGACAGACAACCCCAAACUCUUCCACCAGUUGCAGGACGUCAUCCCAUACUUCACGUGCAUGAUGGGGGACUUGGCAACUGCUCUGAGCAGUUUGCUCCCCACAGUGAACGCCCCCGCCACCCGCUUUACGCCACAACUCUUCCUCUUCUAUCUCUGCAUCUUUAAAACUGCAACAGCACCAAAGCUGGCGGUCAUGCAGCCAGCAGAGCUGUCCUCUUCUGAUGCAGCGUGGGAGCCGAUUAAAGAUGCUGUGCCGCUGACACAUGUUACUCUGGUCAGGUUUGCUCUCAGGGUUCAGAAAUGCUGCUCUGCCGUCUACACCGAUGCUCAGUGUUGGACCAGUAUACUCAAAGUUGCUAACACAAGCAACGCUCUGCAAGAACCGAGGCCAGAGUUUCUCCACGAAGCGACGGUUGUUGUGCAUUCAAUCCUUCAGGACAAGUACGGGUCAAACAUUCAGAUUCCACGAUUCUUUGUGCAGGAGUACCCAGAUCAGGCCUUGUUGCUGGUGGUAACGGGAGCUUUAUGUUUGAGAAUCCUUGAUGCUCCUCUGAGUCCGGCCCUCCCUGUGCUCAACACGUUUAAGGGGAACGUGUGGGCUCUCAACUGGCUGUGGAGCAGUUUGUCCACCAGCCCCGAACGCCUCAACUCCUUCCUGCUGGAGUUCUCCAAGGAGACUGAGAUCAUGACAGAUGGGGAUCAUUUAUUACCAUUACUUUCCACCACCACCCCCUCAGUCUCCUUCAAGUGAGGACCAGCAGUCCAGUGGACUUCAAACACGCUGUUAAGUAAAGGCUCAGUGUCAGCUGCUUAUCGUCUCUCCCAUCACUGGCUCCAUUUGCACAUAGAACAACCAAACUCCUGACCCCUCGCUGAUGUUUCUGUCAAACAUCGACUCCCAGCGCCUCCUCUUCUGCACACUGGUGACGGAGGAGCCACAGGAAAAUGUCAGAUUUUUUUUUACAGACGUUACAAUGUACCUGAAGGGACUUCUAACACAUCCUCAGUGUGAUUCAGCGUAAAUCCAAUCUGAAAGACACUUUAUGAUGAUUAUUUCAGUUUUUUAAUUCAAUGACUUUCUGGAAGUAGUUUUGUUGUUACAAAUGCCCAAAAGAUGUAAUCAUUUUAUGUUGGAAAAUAAAUGGAAAAUAUGA
Molecule: RNA transcript, 2322 nt
Organism: Eleginops maclovinus (Patagonian blennie)
Lineage: Eukaryota; Metazoa; Chordata; Actinopteri; Perciformes; Eleginopidae
Exons: 21
Source: RefSeq, a predicted model, not a curated record